RNAcentral lists this ribosomal RNA (384 nucleotides) under uncultured bacterium. RNAcentral's name for it is "bacterial SSU rRNA". It matches the Rfam family "Bacterial small subunit ribosomal RNA", at positions 28 to 412 of the family's 1533-position model. The record is from RNAcentral.
GACGAACGCUGGCGGCGUGCUUAACACAUGCAAGUCGAGCGGUAAGGCCCUUUCGGGGGUACACGAGCGGCGAACGGGUGAGUAACACGUGGGCGACCUGCCCUCAGCUCUGGGAUAAGCCUGGGAAACCGGGUCUAAUACUGGAUAUGACUCCAUGACGCAUGUUGUGGGGUGGAAAGCCUUGUGCGGCUGAGGAUGGGCCCGCGGCCUAUCAGCUUGUUGGUGGGGUGAGGCCUACCAAGGCGACGACGGGUAGCCGGCCUGAGAGGGCGACCGGCCACACUGGGACUGAGACACGGCCCAGACUCCUACGGGAGGCAGCAGGUGGGGAAUCUUGCGCAAGUGGGCGAAAGCCUGACGCAGCGACGCCGCGUGAGGGAUGAC